UACAGAGGUCCCAAGCGUUGUUCGGAUUCACUGGGCGUAAAGCGUGCGCAGGCGGUUUUGUAAGACUGUCGUGAAAUCCCCGGGCUUAACCUGGGAACUGCAUUGGUGACUGGCAGGCUUUGAGUGUGGCAGAGGGAGGUAGAAUUCCACGUGUAGCAGUGAAAUGCGUAGAGAUGUGGAGGAAUACCGAUGGCGAAGGCAGCCUCCUGGGCCAACACUGACGCUCAUGCACGAAAGCGUGGGGGGCAAACAGG
RNAcentral lists this ribosomal RNA (254 nucleotides) under uncultured bacterium. RNAcentral's name for it is "partial 16S ribosomal RNA". It matches the Rfam family "Bacterial small subunit ribosomal RNA", at positions 524 to 776 of the family's 1533-position model. The record is from RNAcentral.